RNAcentral lists this ribosomal RNA (478 nucleotides) under uncultured bacterium. Its description in RNAcentral is "partial 16S ribosomal RNA". It matches the Rfam family "Bacterial small subunit ribosomal RNA", at positions 29 to 523 of the family's 1533-position model. The record is from RNAcentral.
AGUGAACGCUGGCGGCGUGCCUAACACAUGCAAGUCGAACGAUGAUGGAGGAGCUUGCUCUUCCUGAUUAGUGGCGCACGGGUGAGUAUACCAUAGAUAAUGUGCCCCUUAGUUCGGGAUAGCCACUGGAAACGGUGAUUAAUACCGGAUACUCCUUCUUGCCAUAAGGUAAGUCGGGAAAGUUCUUUCGCUAAGGGAUCAGUCUGUGUCCUAUCAGGUAGUUGGUGAGGUAACGGCUCACCAAGCCUAUGACGGGUAUCUGGUUUGAGAGGAUGAUCAGACACACUGGAACUGAGACACGGUCCAGACUCCUACGGGAGGCAGCAGUGAGGAAUAUUGCACAAUGGAGGAAACUCUGAUGCAGCAACGCCGCGUGGAGGAUGACGCAUUUCGGUGUGUAAACUCCUUUUAAGAGGGAAGAUUAUGACGGUACCUCUUGAAUAAGCACCGGCUAACUCCGUGCCAGCCGCCGCGGUAA